UAAGACAUGGUCCUUGUCUUGAAGAAGCUC
This 30-nucleotide non-coding RNA is filed under the name Oryctolagus cuniculus (rabbit). The record is from RNAcentral. RNAcentral also lists the same sequence under 2 other names. Lineage: Eukaryota; Metazoa; Chordata; Mammalia; Lagomorpha; Leporidae.